AAUGAACGUUGGCGGCGUGGAUUAGGCAUGCAAGUCGAGCGAGAACCCAGCAAUGGGGGACAGCGGCGAAAGGGACAGUAAUGUGUAGAUUAUCUGCCCUCGGGUCCGGGAUAGCUGCGGGAAACUGCAGGUAAUACCGGAUAACAUCCCCGGAUCAAAGGUGUGAUUCCGCCCGAGGAUGAGUCUGCAUCCUAUUAGCUUGUUGGUGGGGUAAUGGCCUACCAAGGCUUUGAUGGGUAGCGGGUGUGAGAGCACGACCCGCGUCAUUGGGACUGAGACACUGCCCAGACACCUACGGGUGGCUGCAGUCGAGAAUCUUCGGCAAUGGGCGCAAGCCUGACCGAGCGACGCCGCGUGUGGGAUGAAGGCCUUCGGUUGUAACCACUGUCAGAGGGGAGUGAAAUGCAGGUGGGUUCGUCCC
This 421-nucleotide ribosomal RNA is filed under the name uncultured bacterium. RNAcentral's name for it is "bacterial SSU rRNA". It matches the Rfam family "Bacterial small subunit ribosomal RNA", at positions 29 to 468 of the family's 1533-position model. The record is from RNAcentral.